This 322-nucleotide ribosomal RNA is filed under the name uncultured Chloroflexota bacterium. RNAcentral describes it as "bacterial SSU rRNA". It matches the Rfam family "Bacterial small subunit ribosomal RNA", at positions 28 to 351 of the family's 1533-position model. Lineage: Bacteria; Bacillati; Chloroflexota. The record is from RNAcentral.
GAUGAACGCUGGCGGCGUGCCUAACACAUGCAAGUCGAACGGUCACCCUUGGAUUCGUCUGGGGGUGAGAGUGGCGAACUGGUGAGUAACACGUAGGUGACCUGCCCCGGAGAGGGGAAUAACUGCUGGAAACGGUGGCUAAUGCCCCAUGUGCUCGUAGAUUCGUUUCUAUGAGUAAAGCUUCGACGCUCCGGGAGGGGCCUGCGGCCCAUCAGGUAGUUGGUAGGGUAACGGCCUACCAAGCCGAUGACGGGUAGGGGGCGUGAGAGCGCGAUCCCCCACACUGGCACUGAGACACGGGCCAGACUCCUACGGGUGGCAG